UGACGCUUCUCUUCGAGGACGAGGAAGGGGCUGCACCGCCGUCUGCGAACCAGUAGGUAAACCGGUAUCUGUGCCAGCUCUGCGUACCCGUUGGUGGCUUUUGCGGUGGUGAUCGUGCCUCGGACACAGCAUACUACUGUAACCAGAGUACUCUCAAUCCUGCCAAGUCGCUGCACACACUUUACAAAACCUAAAGUGUCACGCCGAGCGCAGGAGGAUCGUCUUGAAUUGACAGUUGAAAAUAAAGUGUUAUACUUAAUAUUUUAAAUAUGGAACCAGCAAAGUCCUCAAUCAUAUUUCAUACUACGAAAGGGGAUUAUUCUAUGGAGGAAUUAAUGGCCGCGUCGACAAAAAUGCUUGAAAAAUUUAAUAUCGAUUACAAAAAUAAAGGCAGAGAACAGGCUCAAAAAGAAGGUGAGGAGGAAUUGAAGAAAAAAUAUUGCAUAGAUGAAAUCUGUGAUACAUUACUACGUAACUCCUAUUAUUGUAUGUUAUUCAACAUGAAACUUCGCAAAGGUCGUCUAGAAAACGAAGAAGAAUCGCAAACCAUGAAACGCUUCGAAGAAAAACCUGCUGCAAUUUAUAUUGUCGAUACAGAAGAUUGGGAUAAUAUUCGUCUUUCAAUGGAAAAAGAUAAAAUUUGUUAUACUUCAGCCAAAAAAGUGAAAGGCGAAAUAGAAAUCAGGGUAACGAAUAGUCUUCAACAUCUCAAAGUGCUCAGUUACUUUUUACAAAAAGGAAUUGAACACAAAACAUUUUUAUCAAGAUUUACACAAGAAUUACCGGAGUAUAUGCAGGAGAUGCGACGAAGAAAAAACAAAGCCCAGCGUGAUUGUCAGAGGUAUCCAUCCCACGAAAACAAACGCUUAUUCAAUCAACUUGCUCGAGAUUAUAAACGAGAAUUAGCAAAUCUUAGAUUUAAUGAAUAUGAAAAUGAUAAAUCCUCUAUUUUAAACAAUAAUUAAAGUGUCUUUGGAACUAGCUCUAAGGGUCGGUUGCACCAACUUACUUAAC
Molecule: long non-coding RNA, 1014 nt
Organism: Aricia agestis (brown argus)
Lineage: Eukaryota; Metazoa; Arthropoda; Insecta; Lepidoptera; Lycaenidae
Exons: 3
Source: RefSeq, a predicted model, not a curated record